Molecule: small RNA, 30 nt
Filed under: Bombyx mori (domestic silkworm)
Lineage: Eukaryota; Metazoa; Arthropoda; Insecta; Lepidoptera; Bombycidae
Description: ovarian small RNA-10946
Source: RNAcentral
ACAAGGCGGACUGCCGCGUCGUCGACACCU